GCACAUGAAUUCAACAAAUACACACAAUACAUUGUCACAUAGGUGCUCCUCUGCCAAUCAUAUCCAAUCAGCUUGCUGACAAGGAAAUAAAAAUUUGUGUUCUUGUGUUUUUCUCACUACCCUUUUAGCUUAAGUUAUUAGGAUUCAACUCAAUCAUUUAGGUGGUUAACUCACCCAUUAUGUGACAUUUUGAAAACUUAUUAGAAUCUCAGAAUCAGAUAUCAUA
This 226-nucleotide unclassified non-coding RNA is filed under the name Hevea brasiliensis (rubber tree). The record is from RNAcentral. Lineage: Eukaryota; Viridiplantae; Streptophyta; Magnoliopsida; Malpighiales; Euphorbiaceae.